AAAUCCCGGCCCACAGCAUUCUUGAUUACAUGGCACACAGGUAACAAUAGUUGAAAGUGUCUUGAAAAUAUGAGAAUUCACUCUAGAACCCUUCCCUUCUCCACUAACCCAGUGGGCUAGAAUACUCAAAUUUUCAGAAGUCUUUCCUAGGAACUGUAAUAAAAACUGACAAAAUUUGUUAGUUUACUAACUCUACUUUUAUCAAAACUGGCAACCUCUUUAACAUCUAGGAAGACUAGAUGUUGUCAAACAUCUCAUUUGUCCUCUACAUACCCUACUUAUACAAAUAAAAAUGUGCAGACCUGAGGGACAGCAGUAACAUCCCUCGCUGUGUGCAUAAGCACCACUCUGCAUUUCCCUCUUUCGAGAACCAGUGCAGAAACAGUGUGUACACUCGAGAGGGGUUUGCCUAUUACCCCACAAAACAACACUUCAUGUGAGCUCUGACAAAAAGAAAUUUACAAAAUGCAUUAUUUUACUACUUCUACUUUUUAACAUGUAUUAGGCAUUUGAAAGACCAGAUAUUUCAAUAAAGUACUUAGCAUUGUCAAUUACAGAUAAACAGUAAUGAGGACCAAAAUGCACACACGAAACAAAGGUUACAGUGCGAACCAUGUCUUCCACAUGGGGCCAGCCUGGUACUGGACGUUCUUCUCUCUUUUGCUCCGUGUCCUCUGACCACACAACAGGUGUGGACCAGCGUCACUCCUGUGUCGCUUCUCCAGAUGCUCUAACGAACUCCAUUUCAAAAAGUCACUUCCAGAAAAUGUUUUUCUGUCACUUUUUUUUAAAUCAAAUGGGCAUUUCCAAGAUGUUUGGUUUUUCUAACUACUUCAUCAUAUAUCGGCAAUCUCUUUACAUCUAUAUUGUCCACAGGCAGCAAGUUUUCUUUUAAAAAAUUAGGGAGAGGCUGGGGAUAUAGCUCAGCGGCGCCUGCCUGGCAAGAGCAAGGUCCCAAGUUUGAUCCCCAGUACCGAAAAAAAAUAAAAAUAAAAGGUUAGGGGGAAUGUUGAGAGCAGCUUUUUCAUAUUAUAUACACAGGCCUUCUAAAACUGGCCAGUAAAUCUUCUCAGAGGGUGAGGGGCAUUUCUAAUUAGCCAAACAGGGAAUAUUACUUUAUGUUUCUCUCUCUGGCAAUUGCCCAUGGCUCACCAGCUGUUCCACCCGUCCUCAGCCUGGGGUCCCUCACUUUCCAGUCUCCUCCACCUGGGAGGCAGCAGUCACCCUGGGACCCAGAUGUGCACAGUUCUAUGACCCGAACUGGCCGGGCUUUCAGAUCCACCUUCUCCAGCCCUUAUGGCAGCCAGAGGCCUCCAUUUUCUUACCAUGCUAUCCUGCAGCUGCUGCAAGGCGCUGACUCCUUGAUGGCCGGCAGACCCUGCCGCCUGAGAGGUUCUGCCCCAAGGCCGCCGGCCCCCAAUCAGGUCAUCGAGGUGGGGUGCGGAACACUUUGCCUGUGCUUUAAAGCCUGGGCCCAGACAGUGGGCAGUCACAGUGGGGAUCCCUUAGCCUGCAGGGCAGAGACACAGCUCAUCCUCGGGGCCCCAGGCCACCAUCACCAGGAGGGCCUGGGGGUCUCUUGGGAAGCAGGCUGCACUGCUUCUCACUGCACUCUCUGCCGGAACUCUCCAGGCCCUCCUUGCCUUGAGGGUUUGUGUUGAGAAGUCUGCUGUGAUUCUGAUGGGCUUUCCUUUACAGGUGAUUUGUUUCUUCUCUCUAACAGCUUUUAAUAUUCUAUUCUUGGGCUAAAUUUCUGGGAUCCUGACUCUUAUGUGCCUUGGGGUAGUUUUUUUGGUUUCUUAAGGGGAAAAGGUUUACUUAGUUCACAAUUCGUAGAGGUUUCAGCCCAUAAUCACUGGCUCCAAGGCAGGGAUGGCAAAACAGGUGCCACAGAGGAGAACCAACAGGGUAUGCACAAUGUAGCAAAGGCAACAAGGGACCUUAUGAGAGUGUCUUUCUGCCUUUUUUCUCUUAUUCAGACUACUGAGAUUAGGGCGGUGCCAAACCAAUCACUCAUGUGCAGAGGUUUGGUAAUCACAUGCCCUUAAUCGCAGCAUCACAUAUUCCAGAUUCAGCCACCUUUGAAAAAGCAUGAGGCUAGCUGGGGUGUGGUGGCACAUGCCUGUAAUCCCAGCACUCGGGAGGCUGAGGCAGGAGGAUUGCUGUGAGUUCGAGGCCAGCCUGGGCUAUAUAGUGAGUUUAGGGCCAGCCUGAACUACAAAGGGAGACCCUGCCUCAAAAAAACAAACAAAAAAGAAAAAGCAUGAGGCUUUAGGGAGACAUCUAAACACAAGCCAUAACAUCCCACCUUUGCCUCCCAAAUACUCAUGUACACCCCUUUACACAAAGGCAUUUAGUCCCUCUCCAAGCGUUGCCGAAGUCCUAACAGUUUAGCAUUGAAAAGUCCCAAGUCUCAGAUUUAAGGCAAACUCUUAGCUGCAAGCUUCUGCACAAAUGAAAGUUAAACACUUCCAAUAUUCAAUGCCAUAAGAUACAAAUUUCUACUCCAAAAGUUAUAAACAAGGAGAUACAAAGGAAUGGGUCCAAAGCAAGACCAAAGUCCAGCAGAGCAAACAUUAAAUCCCACAGUUCCACUUCCAGCAUCCCUGGCACUGUGUGGCAAGUUGUGAACUCCCAAGGGCUUGGGUGGCUCCACUCCUAUGGCACUACAGAUGGUGGAAGCUCCCACAGCUUCUCUCUUGGGCCAGUUCUGCUCCCUCCUGGCAGCUUUCCUCAUAAUCCAGGCUCCUGGCUUUUCCAAACCUCUGUGGUCUCCGCUGCAGCUUCACCUUCACAGCUUCACACACUGCCCUCUCAGGGGCACGCUGCCUGGUCCCCCAGGCCUUCUUCUGAAAUCUGAGUGGAAGCCUUCCUGACCGCACAACUCCUGCAUUCUAGAUGUACCUAAACCCAGCGCCAUGGGGAUGAUGCCAAGGUCUGCUGUCAGCUGAAGCAGUAGUAAGUAGCCAGACUUCCCUCUCUCUUGACUGUAGGGCUUCAGUGCCUGGAUCGCUAAGCACUCUGAAUCUAAUUCCAAGGAACAAAUUCGUAGGCUGCUGCUGCCGCCAUUAUGGAACAUGGCGCUCUAGGACUCCCUUCAAAAAGCAAAUUCUUUCACUUUUGCAACUUUGAGGCUGCAAAGGCUGGAGUCUUGCUGCUUUUUCUGAUGCCCUUAGGUCAUCUUUUCUGUUCUGUUCCUUUUUGGCAAUCAAGAUCUCUGAUCUGUCUUUGCAGUUCACAGCUUUAAUGGAGCUUCCUUUCUGGACAAACUCACACUGUUUUAAGUCAUUCUGCUGGGCUAUCUGCUCUUGAUUCUCAACAUAGAUCUAAAAGCUCUCAACAGCAGCCAUGACACCACCUCAACAUUAGACUGCCUUGAAAUUUCUUCUGCAAGAUUAAUUAGUCCACUCCCCUAAUCUCAGUCUCAGGCAAAGUCUCUGGACGUAAGCAAAAUGCAGACAAACUUUGUGCCAAGCCAUAACACACAUCAUCUGGAGUCCAACAGCCAAUGCAGUCCUCCUUCCCAGCAGACACUUGCUGAGCUUGGUCUUUACUGGCUUUCUGGUCGUCUGAGCUCUGAUCAGAACUUCUCAUACAGAAUAGCCUAAGGUGUUCCAGCUCUACCUCUAUAGCCAGCAUCUCUGAGUCUUUCCUAACUCUUCCCCUUCCCACAAGCCAGUUCCAAAGGCUCUUGAGCCACACAGUCAGGUAAUGUCACACCAACGACCCCACUUCUCUGGUACCAAAUUUGUGUUAAAUUUCUUUUCUUUUGUUGCUGAGACAAAAUACCCAACACCUAAAGCAAAAGGGGAAAGGGUUUAUUUAGCACAGUUUGUAGAGGUUUCAGUCCAUAGUCAGCUGGCUCCAAGACAGGGAUGGCAAACAGGCAACACAGAGGAGAAACAACGUGGCACACCCUAGGUAGCAAAAGCAACAAGGGUGGUAGAUUUUUUUGAUCAUGGCUAAUUGGAGUUUUAUAUGCCUCACUUAUCUGUAUGUCGGAUUAUUUUUCCAUGCUUAGGAAGUUUUCUGCCAUUACUUCUGUGAACAGGUUUUUUUAUAUCAUCUUUUGUAAUUCUUCUUUGUAUCACUGAGCAGCUGCUGGAUUUUUCAUGGUUCCUUGCUAUUUUUAAGAAGUCUUUCUUUUCAUGAUCACUAACCACAAUCCUAUCUUCUAUAUUUGAUUUCCUGUCCUCACAUUGGCUUGUUCUGCAGAUACUUUCAAUGAAUUUUUAAUCUCCUGGAUAUCUGUUUGAAUCUGUUUCAUGGAUUCCAUUUUUUCCCUAUGUUGGGCUUUCAUGGUUUCCAUUAUUUUCCCAAGUUCUUCUAAUUGUUUAUCUGUAUGUGCUCUGUAUUCACUAAACAUGUCUUUCAUUAUGGUCACCAACUCUGUAGUUAACUCAGAAAUUAAUUCUGAUUUGAAUUUUUCUAGAGCUUCAUUUAUCACUGUUACCAUUCCUGAGACUUCAGGCAGACGGUUUUCAAUUUGUUCCACCUCACUGCCUUCUGGGCUUGCCUUUUGUGAGCUGGAAAUCUGGAGUUUCACCUUCCUUAAAUGUCUUCCCAUUUUUUAGUUUAAUUCCUGGUUUGAUGCUUGUAAAUUGCUUAUGCCAAGCACCUUUAUUGCUAGUAUUGCUGAACCCUUGGGGAAUGACUAUUUCUCAGAGAUGUCUUCCAGGUGUAGCUGGCUUUUGGGUUUUGAGUCUGUUGCGAGAUCCUAUUUCUUCACUUUAUUGAGGAUGAGAAGUUGCUGCCUAUUUAGUCUAGACCCUGGUUCUUGGAACUGGCCUAUAGUAUUAUUUAUGACCCUUAGGCAAUCUUAGUCUUGGCAUUCCAGGAAGAACAACUGAUCAGAACAGUUAUGUCACUUUGGCUAACGUAGUACAAUCAACAAUAAUAGCAUCAAACACAGCCUAAAGGUAAACUUUGGUAACUAUUAAUUUGCCACCUUUAACCAUAUGGGCUAUAUUUGUGCUUAUAUAACAAAAUCUAAAACAAACCAGAAAAUUGUAUACAGAUAAUAACAUGCCUUUGAUAUGGCAAUUUUACCCUAGGGGAGAAAAUUUAAAAUAGAUUAGAAGGAAAAAUAGAGAAAUAGAAGAAGACAAAGAGAUUAGAAACAAGGCUGGAAUACAAAGAAAGGUUAUGCAAACUUUGGGAAACUGGUGAAGACAGGGAAAGAAAGAAGGAAGAAAUAAAAACAAGAACAGAACAACACAAGAAAACCAGAAAUAAUGUUCACAUUCACAUAAAAACAAAAACAGGGGCUGAGGAUUUAGCUCAGGGGUUCUGGCACCUGCCUCACAAACGAAAGGUCCCCAGUUCAAUCCCCAGUACCAAAAAAACAAUUAAGAAAAAAGAAAACAAAAAAAAUCAAGAAAAAAAUGUCACUUCAGGUGUGUCUCUGCAGUUAAUGGUAGAUACAGUGGUCAGACAGAGCCCAGAUCCAUGUCAAUUAAUCCCAGAAAGCCAGCUGUAGGGUUACAGCAAGGUAGAGAACAAUCCCAGCAAGCCUGCACCUUUAGCUCCACUGCAGUUCAGGCAGGUUUCUGGCUGUGAGGCUGGAACUCAUUUUAUUAAGCCUGCAGCACUCCACGUGCUUCCUGCCAGCUUGAACUUGGCUCCUUGACCUCCUGACGACUUGAACUUGGUUCCACCUCACCCUGAUGGAGCCAGCCCUCAGGUGCUCUGAGUUCCAAGCUCAGCUGGGCCCUCACAAGAUGGCUACCAGCUAUCGCCCUCUCCUGGUGAUAUACAGAACUAAAUUAAGUAGAAAUAUUCUAGUCAGUCAGACAGGGCUGGGCCCUGAAGUCAGUGCAGAGGAUGAGAACACACUGAAGCUGUGGCUGGAGGUUCAUUUGAAGAAGAUUAAAAGUCACAGUGGCCAGAUCUGCAUACUUCCCUAAGGGAUGAACAGAAGCUUGAGAUUAUCGGUACCACCCUUUUGGGCUUCCCCAUAUAGAUCAUUAUCUCAUUGGGAGUGGACCAUCCUCUCCCACCAAGACUAGGACAAAUUACUGACCAAGGUUAAUGGUGUCAUCCACACACCCUUGUUACCAGGGUUCAGUAUUACCCAAGCAACUAUAUUUGUGAUCUUAUUAGUUGAUUAUAGCUUUUACCCACAUUGUACCCACCCCUUAUAACUUUGCUCUAUAAAACUACCUUUUGAGAAGCUGGCUUGUUGGCAACCCAUGUGAGACCCCUACUGUCUCUCAGGAGCUAUUCUUAUUCCUCACUCCUAUUCCCCAAUAAAUUUUCCUACUCUUAACCGCUAUUGUUCUUUAAAAUUCAUUCUUCAACUUCGCCUAUCUGACAUUUAGCAUGCUGAGAGUUACA
Molecule: long non-coding RNA, 6336 nt
Organism: Heterocephalus glaber (naked mole-rat)
Lineage: Eukaryota; Metazoa; Chordata; Mammalia; Rodentia; Bathyergidae
Source: Ensembl